CUCGUGGGGCAGAGAUUGCACUGUGAAACCCUACCGACACUACCCCGGAAGGGCCUGGCCUCCGAGGUGUCUGCAGCGUGCUGCCUUCGCCGGGGCUUUUCAGAAUGGGCCGGGGCCUCGGGGGUCUUCAUCCCCAAGGAAGCCUCUUGAUUUUUGGCACCGCCUUUGUUUUUGGGCCGGAAGCCGUUGUGCGGCUGUCUUCUGUGUUCGUGGCGGCUGUUGCCCUUUCCCAGUGGCUCGGCUUCAUUCCCACUGCCCUGCGACUUGGCAGGCCCAUUUAGCCUGUUGUUAUGAUACUGUGGAUUAAAUCUCCGUCUUUGGUUAGAAGAUCCAUUCUACCAAAAAAGAAAAGAGAUAAGUAUCAGAUGCCAGCAAGCCACUGAUGACACCAGUAGACAUCAGGAAAACCAAAUCUCUAAGCCACAGUUAUAAGCAAAGAAAAUUUGAAGCCUCUAUUAAAAAAUCAUUCCUUCAACACAUCACUGACCAGGAACGUAAAUGGAUGAGCAGUAAGGACGCAAUGGAUUAAGCUCCUUUACAAGGGAAAGAUUUCUGAACUCCUCAAGGUAAUUGCAGCAAAGCACAUCAUCUGAUCUUGAGAACCCAGCAGCCAUUCAGAGGAGCUCCAACCUACAUCCUCGUGCCAUUCCCCACCUCCCGCCACUGUCAGUGGCUUUGAGCAGCUCCAAUCCAUCUACACCCUCUGGCAAUGGCAGCCUCUUAACAGAAGAGCUCAGUCUGUGCCCUUUGACAAGUUUCUUCACCACCACAAGGCUGCACGUUCCUCUGGUAGCCACACACCUUCUUCGAUCAGGAUAUGACCGGUUACUCAGCAAAGGACCUCAUUUGGUAUUGUGAAGCCUACCUGAGACCACCUGUAUUUGAUGAUUAUGUAAACAUACUACUUUUCUGAAGAACCACAGGUGGUCAACGUAAGUAACCCAAGUUUCUGUUUUUAGAAGCAAUUUAAAAUAUGCUUUAUUUAAUAGCAAAAAGAGUACUAAAAUGAGAUGACAUUUCCAUUAACCUACAUUUCAUUUUUCAAGAAGACUUGAGAUUUUGCAAAACAUCGUAAAUGGGAAAUGAAGUCUCUAAAGAACUUAACAAUUCAAGCAGGCGUGUCCAUUCAUUCAUUAUUCAUUCAUUUAUCUAACUCUAUCUGGGGGUCAACUAUGUAUCAAACCCAAGAAUAGUAAUAGUAAGACCCAUUCUCUGCCUCCAAGAAGCACAGUCUCACAUGGGGAGACAGAGCCACAACUAACAAUUACACUCCGUGGAAUAACAGCUGCAGUGGAGAAUGCAGAGAAGCCCACAGAAGUACAAGGUGAAUGACAGAGGAAGGGCGAAUCAUUCAGGCAGGGUAGGAGAAAGAAGAGAGUUGAGUCCCUGAGGAGGACAUCCCAGACAGAGGAAACAGCCUUUGCAAAGGAGGCAGACACAUUCAAGGUCAGGGUGGCGAAUGAGAGAUGCGUGGAGAUGCGGCAGUGGAUAAGGGUGUAAAAGGUGGACGGGGUCCACUCAUGCAGGGGAUGUAUGUUAUGCCGAAGAGACCAGACUCUGAUUGCAACCAUAUUUUCAAUUUAAAUCCUUAUCGUUAUAAUCCAACAAGGUAGAGAUAUUUUAAAAUGAAACAGUUAAAAUGAUUGUCAAUUUUAAGUUUCAGUUGUCUUGAAUAUUAAACCUGAAAUCAUUAGCUACCUGCUUCUUUGGACUAAAAGCUGCAUGAAGGCAGGAAUCAUUUCCUCACCAAAGCACCUACUCGAAUUCAUCCAAUAGAGGACCCACUAGAGACAGCUGAUGAACUCAUUGGAUUCCAACACUUCUUAUGAAGUAAUUAAUUUCCCACAGUGCUCGACUAGAUACUGCAUCACCAACACUAAAUAGAUGUUUUAUCUGAUCUCUACAAGCUUGUAAUCUAAGACAUAACAGUUGUUAUUCUUAAUUUUGAGAAUUAAAAUGUCAUUGCUCUGUGUGACAGAUUGAGAAACAAACUAAUCAUAAAAAUUUUUAGGCCAUAAAAGCUAAUAACUAAAGACAGUAAGUAUACUAAAAUAAAUCAAUGUCAAAUUAUAAACGUUCAGAAUUUUCAGUUGUUUAUUAUGAUUUAUUUCAUUGAGUUGAGAAAUCUAUUAACCUUUUGACAUGGGAAGAUGGAAUUCACUAAAUAAGUUAGAGAAGCACUACUUCCAUUGUCAUCACCCUCUUUCAAAAUAGUGCCAACAUUUUUAUAAGUUACGGAAAUGCAGUGGGAAAACACUACUGUUAAUUGUCAGGUAGACAUCUGACACUGCUCAUGAGGAGUGGGAUGACUGUGGCUCUUAAGCCUAUGCAUGGAGCAUUUACACUGAACCUCUGUGAUCUGUGUGCUAACAGAUCAGCCUAUUUUCCCUCAUUGGCAUGAUGCCACCUCUGUUUUGAAUAAGACACUCUAAUGUCGGCUGCUCUGCCUACCAUAUUGGUCUGUCCACCAGCCAUGUUUUGCAGGGAUCAAUUGCUAUGAGUCUGAUUCUUUAAAGUGCUUUUCCUUUCCAUGGUCCAACUUUAGGAGCUGUUCUAUCUCAACAGAUAUUAGGAAAGGGGCUGCCAAUCCUCGAUCAGCACCAUGGCGCCCAACCCAGAUUCUCAAAUUGGGGAAUACAUAUUCUCACUUGAAUAUAUGACUGUGAGUUCAGACAUUAUAUGAAGAAGCCAUGACAUAAAAGGGACAUCUUGCUGCUAUUUUUUACUCAAUGGCCAAUAAGUUUGUAAAGAUAUAGGAAAAAACAAACUCCGCUUCUCCUACUAUGCUCUCACAAUGCAGAAUACUUCUGGGGACCUCUGGUCACCCAAAUGUGUGGGGGACUUCUCUCCACCAAGUAAUCGUUCAGCAGUGGAUUCUUCAGCAGACAUCAGCUGGGUGUUCUCCCACUUAGUUCUCCCAGUGUUAAUUCUGACACUGUCUACCUGGAGAUAGCAUCAGAUCCCACAGAUUGAGAGCUCAGUUCCACAAGACCACCCCCCACUUCAGAUACCAGCACAAGUACAAUUGGCCCUCCAUAUCCACAGGUUCCAUAUCUGUGGAUUCAACCAACCACAGAACCAAAAUAUUUGGGAAAAAAACAGUAAAAAAUAUCAGGAGUGUACUGAGUACCUAUGGCUUUUGGAACAUCAUAAAAUCAAAAAAUCUUAAAUCAAACCACCAUAAAUAAGGGACGGUCUAUAAUUUGCUAGAGUGGCUCACAGAACUCAGGGAACACAUUUACUCGUUUAUUACAAAGGAUAUUAUUAAGGUUACUGAUGAACACAAGAGAGAAGAGAUACACAGGGCAAGGUAUGUGGAAAGGGGUUCAAAGCUAACAUGCCCUCUCUGGGUUCACCACCCCAAACCUCCAAGUAUUUAGCUCAGUCCUUUUGGGUUUUUCCAGAGGCUUCGUUACAUAGGCAUGACUGCUUACAUCAUUGGCCACUGGUGAUCAACUUAAACGUCAGCUCCUCUCUCCUCCUGCCAGUUUGGUGGGUAGGACUGAAAAUUCCAACCCUCUAAUCACCUGGUUGGUUCCCUGGGCAACCAGCCCCUAUUGGACGAUAUCCAAGAGCCCUCAGCCAAAGAUCAGCUCAUCAGCAUACAAAAAGACACUUAUCAUUUUGAAGAUACCAAGGAUUUUAGGAAUGGUAUAUAUAUUUCAUAAUAAGUAUCACAAAGUUACAGUGGUUUUAUACUGAAAUAAUGUGUGGAAUAUAUUAUUAAAUACAAUGGAUAAAAAUUUUGCAUCGAUUUUUAAGACAACAUGUAAUAAUACCCCAAGGAAAUUGUAUGUUGUCAGAAGUUAGUUUUGACCAUGUGCCCAGAGACUUGGGGUAACACAUUAGUCCUUCUGUGUCUUGGGGUCAUUUUGAUGGAAAACCCUGAGAAGCAGUAAUAUGUGGAAAGGGUACAGGCUUUAGAACCAAACACAGCUGAGUUUGAAGCCCUGUUCCUCCACAUUUCUUGAGAGUUUGACUUUGACCAAGACAAGUCUGACCUCAAGCCUCAGUGUCCUCAUCAAACAGAAAGGUUAUUUAACAUGAAGAUUUAUAAAAUAUGUAGCACAGUCGCUAAUGGAGCCAGGUGAUAUUUUUAAAACAUGUAAGAUCAAGUCAUAUUCCAGCUUAAAACCUUCCAACAGCUUCUUUUUGCUCUCUGAAUAAUGCCCUACAUGGCAGUAUUAUGGGUUCCAAACCUUUCAGUACAUGGACCUCCUUUGGCAGUCUGGUGAAGCCUUUGGGGUCUUUCUCAAAAUAAUGUUUUAAAAUUUAUGAAAUAAACUACAUGUGAUUACAAAGGAAACUACUUAUAUUGAAAUAUACUUAGAAUAUUAAUAAAAAACAAACAUGCUGCAGUAAUAUAUGUACUUCUCUAUUAACACAUCAAAUAACAUUAUAUAGUAACAAGGUUCUUCAACUACAGUAAGUUUGAAGUAAUGACGGACAACCAUUUCAGGAUAUCUGCAACAAAUGUAAUUGGAUAUGAAAAUAUCUGUGAUUUUUAAUUGUGAAAGUCACGGGUACUGCUGCUCUACUGUGGGUUUUUUGUUUGUUUGUUUUUUGAGACAAAGUCUUGCUCUGUCACCCAGCCUGGAGUGCAGUGGCGCGAUCUUGGCUCACCCCAACCUCUGCCUCCCAGGUAUAAGCGAAUCUCCUGCCUCAGCCUCCUGAGUAGCUGGGAUUACGUGUGUCUGGCACCAUACCUAGAUAAUUUUGUAUUUUUAGUAGAGACAGGGUUUCUCCAGGUUGGUCAGGCUGUCUUGAACUCCCGACCUCAGGCGAUCUGCCCGCCUCAGCCUCCUAAAGUGCUGGGAUUACAGGUGUGAGCCACCACACCUGGCCCUACUCUGGCCUUUUUUUUUUUUUUGCCUUUGCCUACAUUCAUGACUGGAGGAAACGGUAAAUUUCAUUUAGAUGUUAGUGAAGAUAAAAAUGUAUUUGUUCUCAUCUACAUUCAUGGACCCAUGGAUUCUAACCGCGAUCCCUUGGAGAUCCACGGACCUGGGUAGACAGCCAGGAUUCUAAGUGGUAUUCUUGGACUUCAUCUCCCAUCACC
Homo sapiens (human) is the source of this 5059-nucleotide long non-coding RNA. The record is from Ensembl. Lineage: Eukaryota; Metazoa; Chordata; Mammalia; Primates; Hominidae.